UAUUAAAUAUAUUAAGUCAAUUGAGCCGAAUCAUUUCUAGUCACUGAACACUACAUUUUACACGCUGUUUUACAACAUUUUACCAGUCUUUGCGGUUGCAUUACACAACCUAUCAUUUGGGACCUACAACAACGAUUAAAGGUUGCACCAGUCCAGUAUCUUCGCACCGCAGUACCACCCAACGGGUUGUACAUGUGAUGUACUGCAAAGAAAAACAAGCUGUGAACAAACUGUACCCUACACUCGCUUUUGUUCCUAUACGUCUUCAUACUAUGUGGAAAACUUUCUCCUAGAAGUGGAUAUACUUACUGUAUACCAACCAUUAUUCUGCGUGUUACUAAGCUAACAAAACCUAAAUAAGUUGUGCUACACCUCUACGAUGAGACCGAAAAAAAGAUGCCUCAGUGGUCAGCAAUACUGUUAUGAAAUGCAAGAACUGGACAUACUUCAAAAGACUAAGCUGUUUUUGGGUAAAAAAAGAGAGAGAGAACCGCAUUAUCAUUUCCAAGUGCUCAAUGAAGAUAUUCCUUAACACUGGAGUACUGCUUAAAGCAUAACACGGAACGAGGUGACCACAGACAAAGAAGAGAUAACUAAGCAAGACAAGACUGUCAAAAUAAUAAAGUUAUGACACAGACUUAAUUCGUCAAGGAUGACAUGUUUUGCACAUCAUCUAAUACUUAUCUGUUCCUUGUGGGAAUGAGAAGGCCAUCUGAACAUUCAAGAUGGAAAAACUGUAUAAAAAGUGGCACUGAACCACUGUAAUUUGUCAGAUAGUUACAUAAGCCGAUCUAUUUGUUACAGGUCUUAGUAGCAGUUUGUUGCUUAUAUUUCUAAACAAUACAGUGUUAUACAAGUUCCACCUCAAUUCAUCUUAUAUUAAAUCAUAUUUAACCUCU
Molecule: long non-coding RNA, 899 nt
Organism: Protopterus annectens (West African lungfish)
Lineage: Eukaryota; Metazoa; Chordata; Ceratodontiformes; Protopteridae
Exons: 3
Source: RefSeq, a predicted model, not a curated record